Molecule: ribosomal RNA, 229 nt
Filed under: uncultured bacterium
Lineage: Bacteria
Description: partial 16S ribosomal RNA
Rfam family: Bacterial small subunit ribosomal RNA
Source: RNAcentral
UGAGGAACAUGACCUUCGGCGGGGGAUAGCCGGCCCAACGGCCGGGCAAUACCGCGUACGACCACAUGGGGACAUCCCUGAGUGGUGAAAGCAGCAAUGCGCCGAUGGAGUGCCUCGCGGCCUAUCAGCUAGUUGGUGAGGUAACGGCUCACCAAGGCGACGACGGGUAGCUGGUCUGAGAGGAUGGCCAGCCACAUUGGGACUGAGACACGGCCCAGAUCCGUACGGG